Molecule: ribosomal RNA, 497 nt
Filed under: uncultured bacterium
Lineage: Bacteria
Description: partial 16S ribosomal RNA
Rfam family: Bacterial small subunit ribosomal RNA
Source: RNAcentral
GAUGAACGCUGGCGGCGUGCCUAAUACAUGCAAGUCGAGCGAACGGACGAGAAGCUUGCUUCUCUGAUGUUAGCGGCGGACGGGUGAGUAACACGUGGAUAACCUACCUAUAAGACUGGGAUAACUUCGGGAAACCGGAGCUAAUACCGGAUAAUAUUUUGAACCGCAUGGUUCAAAAGUGAAAGACGGUCUUGCUGUCACUUAUAGAUGGAUCCGCGCUGCAUUAGCUAGUUGGUAAGGUAACGGCUUACCAAGGCAACGAUGCAUAGCCGACCUGAGAGGGUGAUCGGCCACACUGGAACUGAGACACGGUCCAGACUCCUACGGGAGGCAGCAGUAGGGAAUCUUCCGCAAUGGGCGAAAGCCUGACGGAGCAACGCCGCGGGAGUGAUGAAGGUCUUCGGAUCGUAAAACUCUGUUAUUAGGGAAGAACAUAUGUGUAAGUAACUGUGCACAUCUUGACGGUACCUAAUCAGAAAGCCACGGCUAACUACGUG